RNAcentral lists this non-coding RNA (28 nucleotides) under Rattus norvegicus (Norway rat). Lineage: Eukaryota; Metazoa; Chordata; Mammalia; Rodentia; Muridae. The record is from RNAcentral.
UGGGACUUAAGGAUGACUCGCUCUGAGA